RNAcentral lists this ribosomal RNA (512 nucleotides) under uncultured bacterium. RNAcentral's name for it is "partial 16S ribosomal RNA". It matches the Rfam family "Bacterial small subunit ribosomal RNA", at positions 28 to 507 of the family's 1533-position model. The record is from RNAcentral.
GAUGAACGCUGGCGGCGUGCUUAAUACAUGCAAGUCGAACGAAACUUCUUUAUCACCGUGUGCUUGCCCUCACCGAUACAGAGUUGAGUGGCGAACGUAUGAGUCACACGACUGCAGCCUAACCUAAAGAGAGGGAUGACACUUGCAGACAGGUGCUACUACCGCAUAACCAUGGUUGCUGCGUUGUAGCGAUGUAGAAGGUGCCCAUGCUUCCGCUGUUGGUUGGUGCCGGGGGGGCUUAGCUAGUCGUUAGGGUAAAGGCUUACCAAGGCAAUGAGUCGUAGCCGAAUUGAUAGGUGGAUCGGCCGCAUGGGAACUGAGACACGGCCCAAACGCCUGCGGGAGGGAGCAGUAGGGAAUCGGCCACAGUGGGCGAAAGCAUGAUGGAGCAACGCCGCGUGGGUGAAGAAGGUCUUCGGAUCGUAAAACCCUGUUGUUAGUGAAGAAAGGGCGUGGGAUGAACUGUUCACGUUGCGACGGUAACUAACCAGAAAGCCACGGCUAACUACGUG